UACGAAGGGGGCUAGCGUUGUUCGGAAUUACUGGGCGUAAAGCGCACGUAGGCGGAUUUGUAAGUCAGGGGUGAAAUCCCGGGGCUCAAACCUCGGAACUGCCUUUGAUACUGCAAGUCUCGAGUCCGAUAGAGGUGAGUGGAAUUCCUAGUGUAGAGGUGAAAAUUCGUAGAUAUUAGGAAGAACACCAGUGGCGAAGGCGGCUCACUGGAUCGGUACUGACGCUGAGGUGCGAAAGCGUGGGGAGCAAACAGG
RNAcentral lists this ribosomal RNA (255 nucleotides) under uncultured bacterium. Its description in RNAcentral is "partial 16S ribosomal RNA". It matches the Rfam family "Bacterial small subunit ribosomal RNA", at positions 524 to 776 of the family's 1533-position model. The record is from RNAcentral.